RNAcentral lists this long non-coding RNA (1675 nucleotides) under Mus musculus (house mouse). RNAcentral's name for it is "predicted gene 43838". Lineage: Eukaryota; Metazoa; Chordata; Mammalia; Rodentia; Muridae. The record is from RNAcentral.
AAGCCUCUCUCUCACUUCCUCUCUCUUGCUCAGGAGAACUGUGAGAACUAACUGUUGAUCUGAAAGCAACCAUGAUUUGCUACAGAGGUGCGAGCUUGCACAGAGACCUGUGAAAUCCCACAGAACACAGGAAGUGUCUAAUUCCGCUGGAUCGGGCUGGUGUCAAGGCAGCUGACAGCUUCAGAGCCAAGAGCCUCCAGAAUCCUUUUUGGUAAGGAAUGUCAGCUACAAGGGGAAUCCCUACCUCACCAUCUACACAGAGUUCAAAGGAAAUGCAGAUUUAAUCAUUUGGUUUCUGUGUGACUUUCAAGUCAAAGUGAAACUAGAAUGUGAAUAUCAGAGCGUGUGAACCUUUUUGGUACGAAGCCUGGGUUCCCCUCUUACUGCUGCGGUGUGUAGAGGAUUGUGCAAUGUAAUAGCAGCAUCCAAGAUACACAGGGUCUCUGCUUCGACUCUCAAGAUGACUGCUGAUGCUCGGAGCUGAGCUGCAGAGUGCAGCAGCUCAUUGUUUGGGCCAGGAGUGUGCACGUGAAAAAUGACUCGCCGCACACUCUGCUUCCAUUCUGGUGCUCCGGGAAUGGAUUGACUUCAAAGAACUCUUUAAAAAUUAAAGUUAGGGGGACUGGAGAGAUGGCUCACUGGUUGAGAUUACUGACCGCUCUUCCAGAGGAGCCAGGUUCAAUUCCCAGCACCUAUAUGGCAGUUCAUAACUGUCUGUAACUCCAAGAUCUGACACCCUGAUGCAGACAUACAUGCAAACAAAACACCAAUGCACAUGAAAUAAAACUAAACUUAGAAUGCCACCUAGCAGUAGUGAAACUAAGUUCAAUCCCCAGAGCCAUUAAAUAAAUAUAAUGCAUGUAUAUGCAUAUAUACAUAUACAUAAUCUAUUUAUAAUUUAUAUUUCUCCAUUGGUGAACAAAAGUUAGAAUACAUGUUCAUUGUUAAAAAUAAGAAACAGAACACGGGUGAUGACCAACCUAAACAUCACCAGUGUGGUCUUACACAAAUAGGUUCCCUUUUCUUAUUUCAUUUAGAAACCCACUAAGCAAUUGGUGUAAUACUCCAUUUAGAGCAAGAACACCACAGAGUUGUCUCUGAUAUCCACAUAAAUGCUAUGACAUGCUUGCCUCCCUAUAUACACACAUCAUGUAUGUGUGUGUGUAAACACAUACACACACACACACACACACACACACACACACAGAGAGAGAGAGAGAGAGAGAGAGAGAGAGAGAGAGAGAGAGAGAGAUAUUAAAAAUAAAUCUAGUACCAGAACCUGAGUUUGAUCCCCCAAACCAUGUAAAAAAAAAAUCCAACCAUGUGAUGUAUGCUUGUAAUUCUAGCUCAGGGGAGGGAGAGCCAGGCAGACAGAUCCCUUUGUCUGAAGAAAGAAAGUGGAUGUCUCCAUGGAAGGACACCUGAAGUUAACCUCUGACCCCCACAGGCAUGCACAUGCAUAUGAACAUGUACCCACACACAUGAACAUACACAGGAAAACACUUCUCUUACGCCAUGCAUACCAUAAUUUGUAUAAAAUUCCACCAUAAAGGAGAGCUGGUUUCAGCUUCCUUUAUUAUAAACUAUACUGCAGCAACUAUAUGUGAAUACACAUUUUUUUCUGUUUAGCAUCAAUUUCGUACUAUUAAAUUUUCAAAAAAUUGAAAUUAAGACC